AGAAUCAACGCUGGCGGCGUGCCUAACACAUGCAAGUCGUACGCGAAAGGGGCUUCGGCCCUGAGUAGAGUGGCAAACGGGUGAGUAACGCGUGGGUGACCUGCCUUCGAGCGGGGGAUAACGUUCCGAAAGGGACGCUAAUACCGCAUGACAUCCUGCCUUUGGACAGGCGGAGAUCAAAGCCGGGGAUCGCAAGACCUGGCACUCGAAGAGGGGCCCGCGUCCGAUUAGCUAGUUGGUGGGGUAAUGGCCCACCAAGGCGACGAUCGGUA
This 272-nucleotide ribosomal RNA is filed under the name uncultured bacterium. Its description in RNAcentral is "partial small subunit ribosomal RNA". It matches the Rfam family "Bacterial small subunit ribosomal RNA", at positions 26 to 285 of the family's 1533-position model. The record is from RNAcentral.